Molecule: ribosomal RNA, 113 nt
Filed under: Acanthosepion pharaonis
Lineage: Eukaryota; Metazoa; Mollusca; Cephalopoda; Sepiida; Sepiidae
Source: RNAcentral
UACGGUCACAUCACGCUGAAACACCGGUUCUCGUACGAUCACCGAAGUUAAGCAGCGUAGAGCCAGGUCAGUACUUAGAUGGGGGACCGCUUGGGAACACCUGGUACUGUAAG